RNAcentral lists this long non-coding RNA (204 nucleotides) under Ananas comosus (pineapple). RNAcentral's name for it is "long non-coding RNA (ACOM_LNC005071)". The record is from RNAcentral. Lineage: Eukaryota; Viridiplantae; Streptophyta; Magnoliopsida; Poales; Bromeliaceae.
AGAGGCGGCGGAAGGAGGAUGUGGGUUUGUCGGUGAAGGAGGAGGCGAUGGGGAGGGCACGCGGAGAAGGAGGUGGCGCAUUCUCGAGAAAAAAUAAUGAAGGAAAAAAAGAGAGAGAGAAAAAAAGAGAGAGAAAGAAAAGGAAUAAGAGUAUUUUCGUCCGAUGGCGAAAAAUCCGACCCGAAUCUGCAAAAUUAAAAAAGG